Molecule: transfer RNA, 72 nt
Filed under: Camelus ferus (Wild Bactrian camel)
Lineage: Eukaryota; Metazoa; Chordata; Mammalia; Artiodactyla; Camelidae
Rfam family: tRNA
About the family: Transfer RNA (tRNA) molecules are approximately 80 nucleotides in length. Their secondary structure includes four short double-helical elements and three loops (D, anti-codon, and T loops).
Source: Rfam by way of RNAcentral
GAGGGUAGAUCUCAGUGGUAGAGGGCAUGCUUAGCGUGCACGAGGUCUUGGGUUCAAUCCCUAGUACCUCCA